RNAcentral lists this ribosomal RNA (396 nucleotides) under uncultured bacterium. RNAcentral's name for it is "partial 16S ribosomal RNA". It matches the Rfam family "Bacterial small subunit ribosomal RNA", at positions 523 to 918 of the family's 1533-position model. The record is from RNAcentral.
AUACAGAGGGUGCAAGCGUUAAUCGGAUUUACUGGGCGUAAAGCGCGCCUAGGUGGCUAAUUAAGUCAAAUGUGAAAUCCCCGAGCUUAACUUGGGAAUUGCAUUCGAUACUGGUUAGCUAGAGUAUGGGAGAGGAUGGUAGAAUUCCAGGUGUAGCGGUGAAAUGCGUAGAGAUCUGGAGGAAUACCGAUGGCGAAGGCAGCCAUCUGGCCUAAUACUGACACUGAGGUGCGAAAGCAGGGGGAGCAAACAGGAUUAGAUACCCUGGUAGUCCAUGCCGUAAACGAUGUCUACUAGCCGUUGGGGCCCUUGAGGCUUUAGUGGCGCAGCUAACGCGAUAAGUAGACCGCCUGGGGAGUACGGUCGCAAGACUAAAACUCAAAUGAAUUGACGGGG